This 492-nucleotide ribosomal RNA is filed under the name uncultured bacterium. RNAcentral describes it as "partial 16S ribosomal RNA". It matches the Rfam family "Bacterial small subunit ribosomal RNA", at positions 29 to 507 of the family's 1533-position model. The record is from RNAcentral.
AGUGAACGCUGGCGGCAGGCCUAAUACAUGCAAGUCGAACGGACACACAGUAAGAGUUCGCCUUUACGGGUGGCGAGUGGCGGAUGGGUGAGGAGUAGAUCGGCUUCCACUAAUACGUGGAGGACUACGGAGGAAAACUUACGCUACUACCGCAUAUGACCUACGGGUGGAAGCAGGGGAUAUUCGGAGUUUGCGUGUCAGAAUGAGCCGAUGUCGGAUUAGCUAGUUGGGAGGGUAACGGCCCACCAAGGCAACGAUCCGUAGCGGAUCUGAGAGGAUGAUCGGCCACACUGGAACUGAGACACGGUCCAGACUCCUACGGGAGGCAGCAGUAGGGAAUAUUGGGCAAUGGGCGCAAGCCUGAUCCAGCCAUGCCGCGUGAGUGAAGAAGGCCUUCGGAUCGUAAAGCUCUUUUAUUAGGAAAGAACAACUGCGUAUUUAAACCCGGCCGUUCUGACGGUACCUAAAGAGAAAGCACCGGCUAACUUCGUG